CCUACGGGAGGCAGCAGUGAGGAAUAUUGGUCAAUGGGCGCGAGCCUGAACCAGCCAAGUCGCGUGAGGGAAGACGGUCCUAUGGGUUGUAAACCUCUUUUGUCGGGGAGCAAAAGACGCCACGCGUGGCGUUCCGAGAGUACUUGAAGAAAAAGCAUCGGCUAACUCCGUGCCAGCAGCCGCGGUAAUACGGAGGAUCGGAGCGUUAUCCGGAUUUAUUGGGUUUAAAGGGUGCGCAGGCGGAAGAUCAAGUCAGCGGUAAAAGUGAGAGGCUCAACCUCUUCGUGCCGUUGAAACUGGUUUUCUUGAGUGAGCGAGAGGUAUGCGGAAUGUGUGGUGUAGCGGUGAAAUGCAUAGAUAUCACGCAGAACUCCGAUUGCGAAGGCAGCAUACCGGCGCUCAACUGACGCUCAUGCACGAAAGUGUGGGUAUCGAACAGGAUUAGAUACCCGAGUAGUC
This 459-nucleotide ribosomal RNA is filed under the name uncultured bacterium. RNAcentral's name for it is "partial 16S ribosomal RNA". It matches the Rfam family "Bacterial small subunit ribosomal RNA", at positions 338 to 795 of the family's 1533-position model. The record is from RNAcentral.